AGUCGAACGGCAGCACGGGUGCUUGCACCUGGUGGCGAGUGGCGAACGGGUGAGUAAUACAUCGGAACAUGUCCUGUAGUGGGGGAUAGCCCGGCGAAAGCCGGAUUAAUACCGCAUACGAUCUACGGAUGAAAGCGGGGGACCUUCGGGCCUCGCGCUAUAGGGUUGGCCGAUGGCUGAUUAGCUAGUUGGUGGGGUAAAGGCCUACCAAGGCGACGAUCAGUAGCUGGUCUGAGAGGACGACCAGCCACACUGGGACUGAGACACGGCCCAGACUCCUACGGGAGGCAGCAGUGGGGAAUUUUGGACAAUGGGCGAAAGCCUGAUCCAGCAAUGCCGCGUGUGUGAAGAAGGCCUUCGGGUUGUAAAGCACUUUUGUCCGGAAAGAAAUCCUUGGCUCUAAUACAGUCGGGGGAUGACGGUACCGGAAGAAUAAGCACCGGCUAACUACGUGCCAGCAGCCGCGGUAAUACGUAGGGUGCGAGCGUUAAUCGGAAUUACUGGGCGUAAAGCGUGCGCAGGCGGUUUGCUAAGACCGAUGUGAAAUCCCCGGGCUCAACCUGGGAACUGCAUUGGUGACUGGCAGGCUAGAGUAUGGCAGAGGGGGGUAGAAUUCCACGUGUAGCAGUGAAAUGCGUAGAGAUGUGGAGGAAUACCGAUGGCGAAGGCAGCCCCCUGGGCCAAUACUGACGCUCAUGCACGAAAGCGUGGGAGCAAACAGAUUAGAUACCCUGGUAGUCCACGCCCCUAAACAAUGUCAACUAGUUGGUGGGGAUUCCUUUCC
RNAcentral lists this ribosomal RNA (784 nucleotides) under Burkholderia cenocepacia. RNAcentral's name for it is "bacterial SSU rRNA". It matches the Rfam family "Bacterial small subunit ribosomal RNA", at positions 60 to 839 of the family's 1533-position model. The record is from RNAcentral. Lineage: Bacteria; Pseudomonadati; Pseudomonadota; Betaproteobacteria; Burkholderiales; Burkholderiaceae.